Molecule: long non-coding RNA, 1075 nt
Filed under: Ananas comosus (pineapple)
Lineage: Eukaryota; Viridiplantae; Streptophyta; Magnoliopsida; Poales; Bromeliaceae
Description: long non-coding RNA (ACOM_LNC011839)
Source: RNAcentral
CUCUCUCUCCAUAUAUAUCAAAAAAUAUUAAUUUUUAAAUGGUUAAGAUCAUGUAACAAUUCAACUGGCUAACAAUAAUAAAUCGUUGAACUCGCGGAUCAAAAUUAUUUUAGAGCUGGCCCGGCCUUCAGGAUCAGAAUUAUUUUUUUAUUCGAUAUGGGACUAUUGGAUCAGAAUUAAUAGGCAAUAUAAGAUUCCAGAGUAGGUCCGUCAAAAUCAGAAUUAUUUUUUCAUCCGAUAUGAGAUUUUAGAGUAGGCCCGUUAGAAUUAUUUUAUCAUCCGAUAUUGGACUAUUGAACCAAAAUUAUUAGGCAAUAUGAAGAUCAGAAUUAUUUUUUUAUCCGAUAUGGGACUAUUGGAUCAAAAUUAUUAGAUAAUACGAGUAUGGGACUAUUGGAUAUGGGACUAUUCGACCAAAAUUAUCAGAUAAUAUGAGAUUCUAGAGCAGGCCCCAUAAUGAAUUAUUUGCAUAGUACUUAACUCUAUUGGAUAUGGUACUAUUGGACUAGAAUUAUCAGGCAAUGUGAGAUUCUAGAGCAAGCCCGUCAUAAUCAAAAUUAUUUGCAUAGUACUUAGCUCUUACAUUUCCUACUGUUAUUUGACUCUAUUGGAUAUGGGACUAUUGGACUAGAAUUAUCAGGCAAUGUGAGAUUCUAGAGCAAGCCCAUCAUAAUCAAAAUUAUUUGCAUAGUACUUAGCUCCUACAUUUCCUAUUGAUAUUUGACUCUAUUGGAUAUGGGACUAUUGGACUAGAAUGAUAUUUGACUAUAAUACUAAUUAUAACUACUCGAUCCACUAGCAAUAAUAACGUUCAAAAUGUUUAAGUCAAAUUAUUAUUUUUAGGGUACGAGAUCUCAUAUAUUUGAAUCAGAAUUAUUUUUUCAUCCGAUAUGGAACUAUUGGGGCAUUAUAUAUCACCACAAAGUUAUUUAAUUGUAUAUAGUUACAAUUGUAUAUAGUUGUUACUACAUGUAGAUUUAAAUUGAUGUUCGAUUUUGUUGCAUUUGAAUGGAAUGUGCUCAAAUUGGUCACAAUUCUAAUUGGAGAAAAUAGUUUUAAAUAGGAAUUGAAUAAU